AUUGAACGCUGGCGGCAUGCCUUACACAUGCAAGUCGAACGGCAGCACGGGAGCAAUCCUGGUGGCGAGUGGCGAACGGGUGAGUAAUAUAUCGGAACGUGCCCGGUCGUGGGGAUAACGUAGCGAAAGCUACGCUAAUACCGCAUACGAUCUACGGAUGAAAGCGGGGGAUCGCAAGACCUCGCGCGAUUGGAGCGGCCGAUAUCAGAUUAGGUAGUUGGUGAGGUAAAGGCUCACCAAGCCGACGAUCUGUAGCUGGUCUGAGAGGACGACCAGCCACACUGGGACUGAGACACGGCCCAGACUCCUACGGGAGGCAGCAGUGGGGAAUUUUGGACAAUGGGCGCAAGCCUGAUCCAGCAAUGGCCGCGUGCAGGAUGAAGGCCUCGGUU
Molecule: ribosomal RNA, 392 nt
Filed under: uncultured bacterium
Lineage: Bacteria
Description: bacterial SSU rRNA
Rfam family: Bacterial small subunit ribosomal RNA
Source: RNAcentral